CCUACGGGAGGCUGCAGUGGGGGAUAUUGGACAAUGGGGGAAACCCUGAUCCAGCGACGCCGCGUGAGUGAAGAAGUAUUUCGGUAUGUAAAGCUCUAUCAGCAGGGAAGAAAAAAAUGACGGUACCUGAGUAAGAAGCCCCGUCUAACUACGUGCCAGCAGCCGCUGUAAUACGUAGGGGGCAAGCGUUAUCCGGAUUUACUGGUUUUAAAGUGAGCGUAGACGGUAAUGCAAGUCUGAAGUGAAAGGCUGGGGCCCAACCCCCAGACUGCUCUGGAAACUGGGUAACUGGAGUGCAGGGGAGGCAGGCGGAAUUCCUAGUGUAGCGGUGAAAUGCUUAGAUAUUAGGAGGAAC
Molecule: ribosomal RNA, 355 nt
Filed under: uncultured bacterium
Lineage: Bacteria
Description: partial 16S ribosomal RNA
Rfam family: Bacterial small subunit ribosomal RNA
Source: RNAcentral